GACGUGAGUAACCUGCCUUCAAGAGGGGGAUAACAGUCAGAAAUGGCUGCUAAUACCGCAUAAGCGCACAGAGCUGCAUGGCUCAGUGUGAAAAACUCCGGUGGUACAGGAUGGACCCGCGUCUGAUUAGCUGGUUGGUGAGGUAACGGCUCACCAAGGCGACGAUCAGUAGCCGGCUUGAGAGAGUGAACGGCCACAUUGGGACUGAGACACGGCCCAAACUCCUACGGGAGGCAGCAUG
RNAcentral lists this ribosomal RNA (241 nucleotides) under uncultured bacterium. RNAcentral's name for it is "partial 16S ribosomal RNA". It matches the Rfam family "Bacterial small subunit ribosomal RNA", at positions 114 to 353 of the family's 1533-position model. The record is from RNAcentral.